Molecule: ribosomal RNA, 1363 nt
Filed under: uncultured bacterium
Lineage: Bacteria
Description: bacterial SSU rRNA
Rfam family: Bacterial small subunit ribosomal RNA
Source: RNAcentral
GAUGAACGCUAGCUACAGGCUUAACACAUGCAAGUCGAGGGGCAGCAUGAACUUAGCUUGCUAAGUUUGAUGGCGACCGGCGCACGGGUGAGUAACACGUAUCCAACCUGCCGAUGACUCGGGGAUAGCCUUUCGAAAGAAAGAUUAAUACCCGAUGGCAUAGUUCUUCCGCAUGGUAGAACUAUUAAAGAAUUUCGGUCAUCGAUGGGGAUGCGUUCCAUUAGGUUGUUGGCGGGGUAACGGCCCACCAAGCCUUCGAUGGAUAGGGGUUCUGAGAGGAAGGUCCCCCACAUUGGAACUGAGACACGGUCCAAACUCCUACGGGAGGCAGCAGUGAGGAAUAUUGGUCAAUGGACGAGAGUCUGAACCAGCCAAGUAGCGUGAAGGAUGACUGCCCUAUGGGUUGUAAACUUCUUUUAUACGGGAAUAAAGUGAGGCACGUGUGCCUUUUUGUAUGUACCGUAUGAAUAAGGAUCGGCUAACUCCGUGCCAGCAGCCGCGGUAAUACGGAGGAUCCGAGCGUUAUCCGGAUUUAUUGGGUUUAAAGGGAGCGUAGGCGGACGCUUAAGUCAGUUGUGAAAGUUUGCGGCUCAACCGUAAAAUUGCAGUUGAUACUGGGUGUCUUGAGUACAGUAGAGGCAGGCGGAAUUCGUGGUGUAGCGGUGAAAUGCUUAGAUAUCACGAAGAACUCCGAUUGCGAAGGCAGCCUGCUGGACUGUAACUGACGCUGAUGCUCGAAAGUGUGGGUAUCAAACAGGAUUAGAUACCCUGGUAGUCCACACAGUAAACGAUGAAUACUCGCUGUUUGCGAUAUACAGUAAGCGGCCAAGCGAAAGCGUUAAGUAUUCCUCCUGGGGAGUACGCCGGCAACGGUGAAACUCAAAGGAAUUGACGGGGGCCCGCACAAGCGGAGGAACAUGUGGUUUAAUUCGAUGAUACGCGAGGAACCUUACCCGGGCUUGAAUUGCAACUGAAUGAUGUGGAGACAUGUCAGCCGCAAGGCAGUUGUGAAGGUGCUGCAUGGUUGUCGUCAGCUCGUGCCGUGAGGUGUCGGCUUAAGUGCCAUAACGAGCGCAACCCUUAUCGAUAGUUACCAUCAGGUGAUGCUGGGGACUCUGUCGAGACUGCCGUCGUAAGAUGUGAGGAAGGUGGGGAUGACGUCAAAUCAGCACGGCCCUUACGUCCGGGGCUACACACGUGUUACAAUGGGGGGUACAGAAGGUAGCUACACGGUGACGUGAUGCUAAUCCCUAAAGCCUCUCUCAGUUCGGAUUGGAGUGUGCAACCCGACUCCAUUAAGCUGGAUUCGCUAGUAAUCGCGCAUCAGCCACGGCGCGGUGAAUAAAUUCCCGGGCCUUGCACA